AAUUAAAGUUAUUCUCAGGUCCCAAAGGGAGCUCAGAGAAUAUCACUCCAUUGAAGUUCCCUGGAGCCUUCUAGAAUGUCAGCUUAACCCAGCUUCCAUGUUGGGUUGCUUCCACAGUUUUAGAUUUCUUGGGAUUCUAUGUUAUGAACUCAGAAGACCUGAUUUUUAUGAUUGUCAUCCCAAAAUAGCCUUCAUAUUCAUACUCAGUAUUUCCGCUGAGGUGAUGCAUACAAACCAUUAUGCAAAUUGAACGCACUCAGAGCAUGGUUUCCCCACAUAGUGCUGAAUUUUCUAGAAGACUCAUCAUGAAAAGCGGCCUCACUGAUGCUUACAUUAGCACUGAUGACCUAGUCUAGGUGUCUGGCCUCACAGAUGAGGAAAUGCAAGCCCUCAAGGGGGUAAAAUUCCUUCAUCCUUACCUUACACCACUGCCUGCUAAGAUACCCCAAAGUGCCUUCCAUCUGUGCAAAUGAAGUCUCUAGGAGAUGCCUCGGA
Molecule: long non-coding RNA, 495 nt
Organism: Herpailurus yagouaroundi (jaguarundi)
Lineage: Eukaryota; Metazoa; Chordata; Mammalia; Carnivora; Felidae
Exons: 2
Source: RefSeq, a predicted model, not a curated record